This is a microRNA precursor of Caenorhabditis elegans, 72 nucleotides long. It matches the Rfam family "mir-357 microRNA precursor family". The record is from Rfam. NCBI's taxonomy places the organism in Eukaryota, Metazoa, Nematoda, Chromadorea, Rhabditida, Rhabditidae.
GCGGAUCCCUACAACGCUGCGCAUAUGCAUGAACACAAUGAAAAUGUAAAUGCCAGUCGUUGCAGGAGUUCG